AGAAGAAGAGGAAGAAGAGGAAGAAAAU
Molecule: small RNA, 28 nt
Filed under: Arabidopsis thaliana (thale cress)
Lineage: Eukaryota; Viridiplantae; Streptophyta; Magnoliopsida; Brassicales; Brassicaceae
Description: ATSL063710
Source: RNAcentral